Molecule: long non-coding RNA, 742 nt
Filed under: Mytilus galloprovincialis (Mediterranean mussel)
Lineage: Eukaryota; Metazoa; Mollusca; Bivalvia; Mytilida; Mytilidae
Source: RNAcentral
UUCUGCAGGGCUCACGCUACCAGGCGACUUGGGCGAAGAAGUCGCCUUCCCGAUCGUCACUUCGCUUUCCCCGACCCCCAAAAGCGAAAACAAGUCGCCCUGUUCUUGACGAUACUCGCUUUCAGUCGCUUCCGUCAUCGGACAUUUUCAAUUUUUACCAAUUUGAUGAAACAUCAAUUUUUUAUUGAUAAUUAAAGAAAUUCAGACAUAAACGAUUCAUUGUCUUUAGAAAAGAGGUUGAAGCAUUGUCUUCGCAAUGUGAAGCAACUUUUUAUCACCGUGCAUUUCCGCAAGUUCUUAAAUACUCGAAAACGUACAUCAACCUAAAUUUCGGCGGCAAAAUAAGUUUGUUACUUCAUUUAAACGUGAUAAAAGUUGCCUCCAGUAAAUGUUUAAUCCAUUUAUUGCAUUAAAAACGUUAUGUUCCUUUCCAAAUAACUUGUCAAACAUCGUUUAUUUUUGUAAAUUUUCUUGCAUUCGUCCGCCAUUGACCGAUUUCUAAACUACGGAUCUGAACCGGACCAGCUAUGACCGAAAUCCGUACUUUUACAAUAAUUACUACGGACGCACGGAUGGAACAGCUGACAGAAGAAUAUUGAUCCCAAAGGGGAAAAUUACGCAUUCCACACGCAUUAAGAGACUUUUGGUUACAUCUAAUUGAUUGGUGUAUUUAAUUCCCUAUAUUUUUUAUGGAUUGUUUCAAACUAUUGAUUAAAAUUGCUUAACUCUGAGACUAUUUUAU